RNAcentral lists this long non-coding RNA (390 nucleotides) under Homo sapiens (human). RNAcentral describes it as "non-protein coding LINC01198:8". Lineage: Eukaryota; Metazoa; Chordata; Mammalia; Primates; Hominidae. The record is from RNAcentral.
ACCUGCCUUCUGCCCUUAGGCUCCGGUAGACUGCAAAUGACCUGCUUUCUUUCUGUUCCCGGGCUGCGUUUGGACCCCUGUCGGAUAGUAAAUCCCAAGUAAGGUACCUGCCCUCGGCAGAUUUGAGCUUUCUUCUUGGACACCUAAUACCCACAGUCCCCCAGGAAUGGAACAGAUAAGAAGAUACUGAAAUUGGACGGUGCUGCCGUGCGGCUGCCGCAGGACACCUUUAAUAUCCCUGUUUCUCAGGCUGUAGAUGAAGGGGUUCAGCAUGGAGGUGAUCACCGUGUACAUCACUGAGGCCACUGCAGCCUUUCUCGGGGAAGAUGACACAUCUGAACUGAGGUACCCUCCAAAGCCUGUUCCGUAAAAUCAGCAAACAACUGACAG